RNAcentral lists this ribosomal RNA (440 nucleotides) under uncultured bacterium. RNAcentral describes it as "bacterial SSU rRNA". It matches the Rfam family "Bacterial small subunit ribosomal RNA", at positions 338 to 795 of the family's 1533-position model. The record is from RNAcentral.
CCUACGGGAGGCAGCAGUGGGGAAUAUUGGACAAUGGGCGAAAGCCUGAUCCAGCCAUGCCGCGUGAGUGAAGAAGGCCUUAGGGUUGUAAAACUCUUUCGACAGGGAAGAUAAUGACGGUACCUGUAUAAGAAGCUCCGGCUAACUCCGUGCCAGCAGCCGCGGUAAUACGGAGGGGGCAAGCGUUGCUCGGAAUUACUGGGCGUAAAGCGAGCGUAGGCGGUUAGUCAAGUUGGUGGUGAAAGCCCGGAGCUCAACUCCGGAACUGCCAUCAAAACUGACUUACUUGAGAUUGGUAGAGGAAAAUGGAAUUCCUAGUGUAGAGGUGAAAUUCGUAGAUAUUGGGAAGAACAUCGGUGGCGAAGGCGAUUUUCUGGGCCAUAUCUGACGCUGAGGUUCGAAAGCGUGGGUAGCAAACAGGAUUAGAUACCCUAGUAGUC